AGAAAGUUAGGGUCAAACUAGACCAAGAGCCUUCAAAGCUCUAAGUAAGCCCUAUAGACUUAACU
RNAcentral lists this transfer RNA (65 nucleotides) under Panthera tigris (tiger). Its description in RNAcentral is "tRNA-Trp". The record is from RNAcentral. Lineage: Eukaryota; Metazoa; Chordata; Mammalia; Carnivora; Felidae.